AACGAACGCUGGCGGCAUGCCUAACACAUGCAAGUCGAACGAGACCUUCGGGCCUAGUGGCGCACGGGUGCGUAACGCGUGGGAACCUGCCUUUAGGUUCGGAAUAACUCCCCGAAAGGGGUGCUAAUACCGAAUAAUGUCUUCGGACCAAAGAUUUAUCGCCUUUAGAUGGGCCCGCGUAGGAUUAGCUAGUUGGUGGGGUAAAGGCCUACCAAGGCGACGAUCCUUAGCUGGUCUGAGAGGAUGAUCAGCCACACUGGGACUGAGACACGGCCCAGACUCCUACGGGAGGCAGCAGUGGGGAAUAUUAGACAAUGGGCGAAAGCCUGAUCCAGCAAUGCCGCGUGAGUGAUGAAGGCCUUAGGGUUGUAAAGCUCUUUUACCAGGGAUGAUAAUGACAGUACCUGGAGAAUAAGCUCCGGCUAACUCCGUGCCAGCCGCCGCAGUAA
Molecule: ribosomal RNA, 449 nt
Filed under: uncultured bacterium
Lineage: Bacteria
Description: partial 16S ribosomal RNA
Rfam family: Bacterial small subunit ribosomal RNA
Source: RNAcentral